UAGGGAAUCUUCCGCAAUGGACGCAAGUCUGACGGAGCAACGCCGCGUGAGUGAAGAAGGAUUUCGGUUCGUAAAACUCUGUUGUUAGAGAAGAACAGCGCAUAGAGUAACUGUUAUGCGUGUGACGGUAUCUAACCAGAAAGCCACGGCUAACUACGUGCCAGCAGCCGCGGUAAUACGUAGGUCCCGAGCGUUGUCCGGAUUUAUUGGGCGUAAAGCGAGCGCAGGCGGUUAGAUAAGUCUGAAGUUAAAGGCAGUGGCUCAACCAUUGUAGGCUUUGGAAACUGUUUAACUUGAGUGCAGAAGGGGAGAGUGGAAUUCCAUGUGUAGCGGUGAAAUGCGUAGAUAUAUGGAGGAACACCGGUGGCAAAAGCGGCUCUCUGGUCUGUAACUGACGCUGAGGCUCGAAAGCGUGGGGAGCGAACAGG
This 428-nucleotide ribosomal RNA is filed under the name Bacteroidota bacterium. RNAcentral's name for it is "Bacteroidetes bacterium partial 16S ribosomal RNA". It matches the Rfam family "Bacterial small subunit ribosomal RNA", at positions 355 to 776 of the family's 1533-position model. The record is from RNAcentral. Lineage: Bacteria; Pseudomonadati; Bacteroidota.